RNAcentral lists this ribosomal RNA (497 nucleotides) under uncultured bacterium. RNAcentral's name for it is "partial 16S ribosomal RNA". It matches the Rfam family "Bacterial small subunit ribosomal RNA", at positions 28 to 507 of the family's 1533-position model. The record is from RNAcentral.
GAUGAACGCUGGCGGCGUGCCUAAUACAUGCAAGUCGAGCGAACGGACGAGAAGCUUGCGUCUCUGAUGUUAGCGGCGGACGGGUGAGUAACACGUGGAUAACCUACCUAUAAGACUGGGAUAACUUCGUGAAACCGUAGCUAAUACCGGCUAAUAUUUUGAACCGCAUGGUUCAAAAGUGAAAGACGGUCUUGCUGUCACUUAUAGAUGGAUCCGCGCUGCAUUAGCUAGUUGGUAAGGUAACGGCUUACCAAGGCAACGAUGCAUAGCCGACCUGAGAGGAUGAUCGGCCACACUGGAACUGAGACACGGUCCAGACUCCUACGGGAGGCAGCAGUAGGGAAUCUUCCGCAAUGGGCGAAAGCCUGACGGAGCAACGCCGCGUGAGUGAUGAAGGUCUUCGGAUCGUAAAACUCUGUUAUUAGGGAAGAACAUAUGUGGAAGUAACUGUGGACAUCUUGACGGUACCUAAUGAGAAAGCCCCGGCUAACUACGUG